RNAcentral lists this ribosomal RNA (468 nucleotides) under uncultured bacterium. RNAcentral's name for it is "partial 16S ribosomal RNA". It matches the Rfam family "Bacterial small subunit ribosomal RNA", at positions 28 to 507 of the family's 1533-position model. The record is from RNAcentral.
GACGAACGCUGGCGGCGUGCUUAAUACAUGCAAGUCGAACGGACAGACCCGGAUUUUGCUGCUCGCUCGUUAGCCGAGCAGGUGAGUAACACGUGUGUAUCAUGUCCUUGUCAUUCUGGUAUCAUUUGGAAACAGGGGAGCUUAUAGCAUAUAAUAUAUUGAUGCGUGUGGUUCGUUAGUAAGAUUCGGCGGUUGGGUAUGGACUCGCGGCUUAUCAGCUUGUUGGUGGGGUAGUGGCUCACCAAGGUUUUGACGGGUAGCCGGCCUGAGAGGGUGACCGGCCACAUUGGGACUGAGAUACGGCCCAGACUCCUACGGGAGGCAGCAGUGGGGAAUAUUGCACAAUGGGCGGAAGCCUGAUGCAGCAACGCCGCGUGCGGGAUGACGGCCUUCGGGUUGUAAACCGCUUUCGCCUGUGACGAAGCGUGAGUGACGGUAAUGGGUAAAGAAGCACCGGCUAACUACGUG